UACGUAGGGAGCCAGCGUUGUCCGGAAUCAUUGGGCGUAAAGCGCGCUUAGGUGGCCUCAUAAGUCCGCUGUGAAAGUCAAAGGCUCAACCUUUGAAAGCCGGUGGAUACUGUGAGACUAGAGUACGGAAGAGGCGAGUGGAAUUCCUGGUGUAGCGGUGGAAUGCGUAGAUAUCUGGAGGAACACCGGUGGCGAAGGCGGCAUCCUGGACCGGUAUUGACGCUGAGGCGCGAAAGCCAGGGGAGCAAACGGG
Molecule: ribosomal RNA, 253 nt
Filed under: uncultured bacterium
Lineage: Bacteria
Description: partial 16S ribosomal RNA
Rfam family: Bacterial small subunit ribosomal RNA
Source: RNAcentral